UGUAUCUGGCGGGACCACCCGCUAAGCCUAAAUAUUCCCUGGUGACCGAUAGCGGAUAGUACCGUGAGGGAAUGGUGAAAAGUACCGCGGGAUCGGAGUGAAAUAGUACCUGAAACCGUGUGCCUACAAGCCGUGGGAGCGUCGGAUGGAAGCUUGCUUCCAUCUCGUGACUGCGUGCCUUUGAAGAAUGAGCCUGCGAGUUUGCGGU
RNAcentral lists this non-coding RNA (208 nucleotides) under Streptomyces afghaniensis 772. RNAcentral describes it as "Bacterial large subunit ribosomal RNA". It matches the Rfam family "Bacterial large subunit ribosomal RNA", at positions 439 to 635 of the family's 2925-position model. The record is from Rfam by way of RNAcentral. Lineage: Bacteria; Bacillati; Actinomycetota; Actinomycetes; Kitasatosporales; Streptomycetaceae.